UGGGGAAUAUUGCACAAUGGGCGCAAGCCUGAUGCAGCCAUGCCGCGUGUAUGAAGAAGGCCUUCGGGUUGUAAAGUACUUUCAGCGAGGAGGAAGGCAUUGUGGUUAAUAACCGCAGUGAUUGACGUUACUCGCAGAAGAAGCACCGGCUAACUCCGUGCCAGCAGCCGCGGUAAUACGGAGGGUGCAAGCGUUAAUCGGAAUUACUGGGCGUAAAGCGCACGCAGGCGGUCUGUCAAGUCGGAUGUGAAAUCCCCGGGCUCAACCUGGGAACUGCAUCCGAAACUGGCAGGCUAGAGUCUUGUAGUGGGGGGUAGAAUUCCAGGUGUAGCGGUGAAAUGCGUAGAGAUCUGGAGGAAUACCGGUGGCGAAGGCGGCCCCCUGGACAAAGACUGACGCUCAGGUGCGAAAGCGUGGGGAGCAAACA
This 427-nucleotide ribosomal RNA is filed under the name uncultured bacterium. RNAcentral's name for it is "partial 16S ribosomal RNA". It matches the Rfam family "Bacterial small subunit ribosomal RNA", at positions 355 to 774 of the family's 1533-position model. The record is from RNAcentral.